ACACACACACACACACACGACAGGCAGACACACACACACACACACACACACAGGACAGGACAGGCAGACACACACACACACACACAGGACAGGCAGACACACACAGGACAGGCAGACACACACACACAGGACAGGCAGACACACACAGGACAGGCAGACACACACACACAGGACAGGCAGACACACACACAGGACAGGCAGACACACACACACACACACAGGACAGGCAGACACACACACACACAGGACAGGCAGACCAACACACACACAGGACAGGCAGACCAACACACACAGGACAGGCAGACACACACACACACACAGGACAGGCAGACACACACACACACACAGGACAGGCAGACACACACAGGACAGGCAAACACUCACACACAGGACAGGCAAACACACACACACACACACACACACACACAGGACAGGCAGACACACACACAGGACAGGCAGACAGGCAUGCCUAACUAGGUGAGAGAAGACCAGGGCAGAUUUUAAGAAGAGGUGACUGGAGGACAGAGACAGAAGGUGUCAUUGUCUCAUCACCACCUCAGGUAACACAAUAAGCCUUUUCUAGCCGUGUGUGUGUCUUAGUGUUAGCGUGUGUGUGUGUGUAUCUUAGUGUUAGCGUGUGUGUGUGUGUGUCAGUGUGUGUGUGUCUUAGUGUCAGCGUGUGUGUGUGUGUCUUAGUGUCAGCGUGUGUGUGUGUAUCUUAGUGUCAGUGUGUGUGAACUGGUGGGUGGAAAGGUGAGGGACUGAGGCAGUAAUCCUGUCACAGGAGACGUAACACCCA
Oncorhynchus tshawytscha (Chinook salmon) is the source of this 799-nucleotide long non-coding RNA. The record is from Ensembl. NCBI's taxonomy places the organism in Eukaryota, Metazoa, Chordata, Actinopteri, Salmoniformes, Salmonidae.